UUUCAAAUUAACGCGAAAGUGGAAAAUGUAAAAUUCUGUUACAAAACAGACAAUAAAAAAAUGCAAUUAAAGUGUGGACUCAGUUCAAUACUCAGUUGCGUGCAAUACACAAAAAUAGAUUUCCCUGGAUGCACCAGCACAUAAAAAAAGCCCCAAUGAAGAUAUUGAGAUUGCGGAGGAAAUUUUAAUGGGGAAUUAACAAACAGAAGAAGAGUUUGGACACGCAGCCGGUGGAAGCGAAGUUCAAUCCAAAGUGGCCUAAUUUUCAUUUAAAAAGAACAUCACCUGAACAUCGCUUCGGGAAUGUAGCAUGAAGUCUAUUACAUUUAUGCUUCAUUUCUACUCUGGUCUAUUCUACUCGGGUUAAGCAUAAACGCCAAAUGCUCUACUCGAGGUGAAUUCAGAAUGGAGUUUAUAUCAGGACAACCAAACCCAACUUUCCUAAAUUUUGGCAAAAUUUUAGAUAAAUAAUUGUAUUUUUGGCAAAAACUUAGCAACACAUAAACUCUGUAUCAAUCAAGUUAAAUGCAAAUCAGCUGAUUUCAACUCAGCCCUCGUUUAUAAUACCGAGUGAACGCCUCUGCAUAUGUAGAGAAAAUGUGUAUAAUCUAACCGAGAGACACCUUAACUCGUGGUGAAAAAUUGUCUAUGCUUGCGAGUUUAACUUACCCGAAUACAUUAAGCCCGAGUAGAAAUUAAGCAUAUGUAUGUAUAUAAUGAUCGUAAUCGGAUCAUCGUAAAAUAGCUGGAAAUUGUAACACUAAUGGGCUUGCACAUUUCGUUAAUAUCGAACAAUGCCUAAACGUACCACUUCUGAAUAUUUGGAUAUUGAGCCAACACAGGGAUAGCUGAACUAGCAUCCCAACUUGCAUAGUUGCGUGAUGCUUCUGGACUAUGGUUAAUAGCGGAAGCUCAGUAAGCCUUGAGGGUUUUCCCGGAUACCCACUGGCGCAGUUGUUUGGGAAAAACGAUAAAGGUACUUAUGCACUUUCUUAGGAACUGUACUACGCUUGCAAUACUGAGGCUGAAAAUUUUUUGUGAUGGCAUACAUUUACCAAGCCGAAGGUGUUUACAGAUAUUAACAUCAGUUGAAAAUACCGAGUGAUUCCAGGUCGCUCUCUGCCUGAUACUUCGAAUAGAGUGGAUGUCACUUCAUACUCUGUUUUUUACCAGCGAAUACUGCAUCGAAUACUGUGAAAGGCGGCGCGAUUUCAUUCAUUCGUUCGACUGAUCGUUUCAUCGACUACUAAAUUCGCCGCUGUCAAUACUCAGAAGACCACAAAUGAAGAAGACUCCGAAGAUCGACUCAUCGGAUGUCGACAUCGUCCAAAAGUUUUUCUACAUUGGAUUGUAAGGCUGUAAUUUUAUAAGGCCUCGAGAUUAUGACUUUACAACAGUGACGUGGAAGCCGAUUGGCAAACAAUUGAUGACAGAAUAUAUUCUUACCAUGUAAAAAUGCUCAUCUUCUGCCAAGUCAUGUCCAGCUCAUUGAGCGAAAUGAAAUCGCAUAUGAUGGCCAUGAGGCUUCAGUUCAUAGAACAUCGGAAAUUUCAUUGAAGAUGUCAGAGCUCACACAAGGUGUAGUUCAAACAGCAAACGGUGAAUGGUCCACCCUUUGUUAAGCACGGCUUAGGAAGAUUUCCUUGUAAGAGAAUAAAUGAGGAAACUUUUUAUUAAAAUUCAUCCAUUUUUUGAAAAGCCCUCGUGCUCGUACAAACAUAGAUAGGUUGCUUAGGGAAGCAAUUUUUAAUUUCGUUAUUUUAACACUCAUUAAAGACAUGAAAGAAAUACACUAUUGUUAGUAGCGUAAAUUUUCUUUGCAACAAAUUUUUGUGAUUUAAUUAAUUAUCUCUGCGGUUUUAUGUUUUGUAUUUUCUCAUGUUCGCAUG
RNAcentral lists this long non-coding RNA (1889 nucleotides) under Ceratitis capitata (Mediterranean fruit fly). Its description in RNAcentral is "uncharacterized LOC105664563, transcript variant X2". The record is from RNAcentral. Lineage: Eukaryota; Metazoa; Arthropoda; Insecta; Diptera; Tephritidae.